UUAAAAACUGCAUAUCAUGUUUUGAGUUUACAAGAGACCAGAGCAGAUUAUAAAUACACCUCAGAGAUUAUGUCUUCUCUUAAAUCUUGUGGAAUCAUUGCAACUUUAACCUUUUUCUCGCUCACAUUGUGUUCCUUUUCUACUCUUGAAUGAAUGGCUGAUGACUCAGCAUUACUGUAGUUCGAAGCCAAGAUCUGCUUAGUCACAUCAUUUCGGGAACAAUCCUACAUCGAGAUUCUUCCCCAUAACAAGAACCCUCUUAGAGUGGCUUGGCUUAGCUACUGGAGCGAAGUGCAUUACAACUCGCUAUACUCUGUUGGAGAUGUUCCCACAAGAAAACCCAAGAAGAAGCAUUGGCUCUUCUAGGAUUGAAUCCAGAUUCAUGUAUACCAUAUAUGUAUGUAUAGGAUCUUCCUCAGAUUGUGUGUAAACUUUGUUGAUAGCCUCACUCUUUUACAUACUUACAUGCUUUAUCGCUGGUUCUCUCAAUACUUUCAUUGCAAGGGACCGAGUAAUACUAUAUAUUUGUUAUUUGUAA
Brassica oleracea var. oleracea is the source of this 538-nucleotide long non-coding RNA. RefSeq lists it as uncharacterized. NCBI's taxonomy places the organism in Eukaryota, Viridiplantae, Streptophyta, Magnoliopsida, Brassicales, Brassicaceae. The transcript is spliced from 3 exons. The record is from RefSeq and is a predicted model, not a curated record.